UCGGAGUCUGCAACCCGACUCCGUGAAGCUGGAUUCGCUAGUAAUCGCGCAUCAGCCAUGGCGCGGUGAAUACGUUCCCGGGCCUUGUACACACCGCCCGUCAAGCCAUGGGAGCCGGGAGCGCUUGAAGUGCGUCGCCGCGAGGCGCGCCCUAGAGCGAGACCGGUGACUGGGGCUAAGUCGUAACAAGGUAAC
Molecule: ribosomal RNA, 195 nt
Filed under: uncultured bacterium
Lineage: Bacteria
Description: partial 16S ribosomal RNA
Rfam family: Bacterial small subunit ribosomal RNA
Source: RNAcentral